UACGAAGGGGGCAAGCGUUGUUCGGAAUUACUGGGCGUAAAGGGAGUGUAGGCGGUUAUGUAAGAUAGUGGUGAAAUCCCAGAGCUUAACUUUGGAAUUGCCAUUAUGACUAUAUGACUAGAAUUACAGAGAGGAUAGUGGAAUACCCAGUGUAGAGGUGAAAUUCGUAGAUAUUGGGUAGAACACCAGUGGCGAAGGCGACUAUCUGGCUGUAUAUUGACGCUGAGGCUCGAAAGCAUGGGUAGCGAACA
RNAcentral lists this ribosomal RNA (251 nucleotides) under uncultured bacterium. Its description in RNAcentral is "partial 16S ribosomal RNA". It matches the Rfam family "Bacterial small subunit ribosomal RNA", at positions 524 to 774 of the family's 1533-position model. The record is from RNAcentral.